GGAGCUGUUCCUUUCAGUGCUGUCAACAGCGAGCCCUGGGGAGUUUGCUCUUUCAAACCGGAUGACAGCCAGUGACAGAUUUCUUAAUAUUUGUUACAGUUUUGAUGCUUUUUAACUGUAGGGCGCAUCAGGAGAAAAAGAUUCACUGUUCUGAAUAGCUGAACCUGGCCUUUUUGUUCCCAACAUUUUAGCUUAAAGGGAUAGCUUUUAAAUGUAAAACCUGUGAUAUGAGAUUAUUUAAUUAAAAUCGAAACAGCUGUAUUUUGAAUUUGUCAUGUUUCAGAGCUAGAAUCAACCUUAAUGCCAUGAUGCAGCAGAACACAGCAAUUUUUGCAGAUAAAUUCUGUACAAAACCACAGAAAACUUAACUGUCUUCAGGCACAGUAUGGAGGGGCUAUUCUGCCACAUUUCUCAAUUUUUUAUGCUUUAUUUUCAGCAGUCUUCCACCCUGUGAGCUGUUUUCCCUCCCACCCCCUCAGAACCUAAUGAAAAUUUUAUGCCAUUUUUUGAUAGUAAACAGACCUCCCCGUUUUCAAUGCUUAACCCUGUGAUGGGCAGAGAAACUUAACUCUUGUGCAGAGAAGGGAACCUGGCACGGGGCAGCCUAGUGACCCACAGAAGUCCCUGCAGGAAAUACACGGCAGACUGGGAAAGACGUGUUCUUGGUUGCUGAUCCGCGUGGCAGCCCUCCUCUCCCGCUUGCUGCUUGGACUCGAGUGUUCGUUGUCCCUCAUGCUGAACGCAGGGCUCUUGCUAGGAAUGAGCCCUGCACCCAAACGAAAGACAACAAACGCUAGAAAGAGAAAACCCACGACGUAGGACAGAUGUGCCUCCAGACCCUGGAAGUGAGACUCCCGAUUCCUGCCUCAGCCGCCGGCCCAUCUGCUUUUUCCAGUUCAGAGGCUCUGGACGUGGUCUCCAGAGGAGCAUCUGUCUUCUCAGCUGCCCGGGCUCAGGUACUGCAGCUGCAUUGCUGAGAACUGAAACGUUUUGUUCUCUUCCUGGUUUCUACUCCGUCUCCUCAUGUUACAGUUCUUCCUUCCCAUUUCUUCCUGUCUUGUAAAAAAAAAAAUACCUCUGUUCUACUACGGCCACUACUACUGCUAUUACUACUACUAACAAUAA
RNAcentral lists this long non-coding RNA (1125 nucleotides) under Anser brachyrhynchus (Pink-footed goose). RNAcentral describes it as "lncRNA (ENSABRG00000019460.1)". Lineage: Eukaryota; Metazoa; Chordata; Aves; Anseriformes; Anatidae. The record is from RNAcentral.